CCCGGGCCUUGUACACACCGCCCGUCACACCAUGGGAGUUGGUUUUACCCGAAGCCGGUGCGCCAACCGCAAGGAGGCAGCCGACCACGGUAAGGUCAGCGACUGGGGUG
This 110-nucleotide ribosomal RNA is filed under the name uncultured bacterium. RNAcentral's name for it is "partial 16S ribosomal RNA". It matches the Rfam family "Bacterial small subunit ribosomal RNA", at positions 1373 to 1482 of the family's 1533-position model. The record is from RNAcentral.